CCUACGGGUGGCAGCAGUGAGGAAUAUUGGUCAAUGGACGAGAGUCUGAACCAGCCAAGUAGCGUGAAGGAUGACUGCCCUAUGGGUUGUAAACUUCUUUUAUAUGGGAAUAAAAUGUUCCACGUGUGGGAUUUUGUAUGUACCAUAUGAAUAAGGAUCGGCUAACUCCGUGCCAGCAGCCGCGGUAAUACGGGGGAUCCGAGCGUUAUCCGGAUUUAUUGGGUUUAAAGGGAGCGUAGAUGGGUUGUUAAGUCAGUUGUGAAAGGUUGCGGCUCAACCGUAAAAUUGCAAUUGAGACUGGCAGUCGUGAGUACAGUUGAGGUAGGCGGAAUUCGAGGUGUAGCGGUGAAAUGCUUAGAUAUCACGAAGAACUCCGAUUGCGAAGGCAGCUUACUGAACUGACACUGACAUUGAUGCUCGAAAGUGUGGGUAUCAAACAGGAUUAGAUACCCUAGUAGUC
This 460-nucleotide ribosomal RNA is filed under the name uncultured bacterium. RNAcentral's name for it is "partial 16S ribosomal RNA". It matches the Rfam family "Bacterial small subunit ribosomal RNA", at positions 338 to 795 of the family's 1533-position model. The record is from RNAcentral.